This 468-nucleotide ribosomal RNA is filed under the name uncultured bacterium. RNAcentral describes it as "partial 16S ribosomal RNA". It matches the Rfam family "Bacterial small subunit ribosomal RNA", at positions 28 to 507 of the family's 1533-position model. The record is from RNAcentral.
GACGAACGCUGGCGGCGUGCUUAACACAUGCAAGUCGAACGGAAAGGCCCUGCUUUUGUGGGGUGCUCGAGUGGCGAACGGGUGAGUAACACGUGAGUAACCUGCCCUUGACUUUGGGAUAACUUCAGGAAACUGGGGCUAAUACCGGAUAGGAGCUCCUGCUGCAUGGUGGGGGUUGGAAAGUUUCGGCGGUUGGGGAUGGACUCGCGGCUUAUCAGCUUGUUGGUGGGGUAGUGGCUUACCAAGGCUUUGACGGGUAGCCGGCCUGAGAGGGUGACCGGGCACAUUGGGACUGAGAUACGGCCCAGACUCCUACGGGAGGCAGCAGUGGGGAGUAUUGCACAAUGGGCGGAAGCCUGAUGCAGCAACGCCGCGUGCGGGAUGACGGCCUUCGGGUUGUAAACCGCUUUCGCCUGUGACGAAGCGUGAGUGACGGUAAUGAGUAAAGAAGCACCGGCUAACUACGUG